AGAGUUUGAUCCUGGCUCAGGAUGAACGAUAGCUACAGGCUUAACACAUGCAAGUCGAGGGGCAGCAUCAUCAAAGCUUGCUUUGAUGGAUGGCGACCGGCGCACGGGUGAGUAACACGUAUCCAACCUGCCGACAACACUGGGAUAGCCUUUCGAAAGAAAGAUUAAUACCGGAUGGCAUAGUUUUCCCGCAUGGGAUAAUUAUUAAAGAAUUUCGGUUGUCGAUGGGGAUGCGUUCCAUUAGGUUGUUGGCGGGGUAACGGCCCACCAAGCCUUCGAUGGAUAGGGGUUCUGAGAGGAAGGUCCCCCACAUUGGAACUGAGACACGGUCCAAACUCCUACGGGAGGCAGCAGUGAGGAAUAUUGGUCAAUGGACGAGAGUCUGAACCAGCCAAGUAGCGUGAAGGAUGACUGCCCUAUGGGUUGUAAACUUCUUUUAUACGGGAAUAAAGUGAGGCACGUGUGCCUUUUUGUAUGUACCGUAUGAAUAAGGAUCGGCUAACUCCGUGCCAGCAGCCGCGGUAAUACGGAGGAUCCAAGCGUUAUCCGGAUUUAUUGGGUUUAAAGGGAGCGUAGGCGGACGCUUAAGUCAGUUGUGAAAGUUUGCGGCUCAACCGUAAAAUUGCAGUUGAUACUGGGUGUCUUGAGUACAGUAGAGGCAGGCGGAAUUCGUGGUGUAGCGGUGAAAUGCUUAGAUAUCACGAAGAACUCCGAUUGCGAAGGCAGCCUGCUGGACUGUAACUGACGCUGAUGCUCGAAAGUGUGGGUAUCAAACAGGAUUAGAUACCCUGGUAGUCCACACAGUAAACGAUGAAUACUCGCUGUUUGCGAUAUACAGUAAGCGGCCAAGCGAAAGCGUUAAGUAUUCCACCUGGGGAGUACGCCGGCAACGGUGAAACUCAAAGGAAUUGACGGGGGCCCGCACAAGCGGAGGAACAUGUGGUUUAAUUCGAUGAUACGCGAGGAACCUUACCCGGGCUUGAAUUGCAGGUGGAUGAGUCAGAGAUGAUUCUUUCCUUCGGGACUCCUGUGAAGGUGCUGCAUGGUUGUCGUCAGCUCGUGCCGUGAGGUGUCGGCUUAAGUGCCAUAACGAGCGCAACCCUUAUCGAUAGUUACUAACAGGUCAUGCUGAGGACUCUGACAAGACUGCCAUCGUAAGAUGUGAGGAAGGUGGGGAUGACGUCAAAUCAGCACGGCCCUUACGUCCGGGGCUACACACGUGUUACAAUGGGGGGUACAGAGGGCCGCUACCACGCGAGUGGAUGCCAAUCCCCAAAACCUCUCUCAGUUCGGACUGGAGUCUGCAACCCGACUCCACGAAGCUGGAUUCGCUAGUAAUCGCGCAUCAGCCACGGCGCGGUGAAUACGUUCCCGGGCCUUGUACACACCGCCCGUCAAG
RNAcentral lists this ribosomal RNA (1399 nucleotides) under uncultured bacterium. RNAcentral's name for it is "bacterial SSU rRNA". It matches the Rfam family "Bacterial small subunit ribosomal RNA". The record is from RNAcentral.